GCUGGCGGCGUGCUUACACAUGCAAGUCGAACGGUGAAGCAGAGCUUGCUCUGUGGAUCAGUGGCGAACGGGUGAGUAACACGUGAGCAAUCUGCCCCUGACUCUGGGAUAAGCGCUGGAAACGGCGUCUAAUACCGGAUACGAGCUGCGGCCGCAUGGUCGGCAGUUGGAAAGAAUUUCGGUCAGGGAUGAGCUCGCGGCCUAUCAGCUUGUUGGUGAGGUAAUGGCUCACCAAGGCGUCGACGGGUAGCCGGCCUGAGAGGGUGACCGGCCACACUGGGACUGAGACACGGCCCAGACUCCUACGGGAGGCAGCAGUGGGGAAUAUUGCACAAUGGGCGCAAGCCUGAUGCAGCAACGCCGCGUGAGGGAUGACGGCCUUCGGGUUGUAAACCUCUUUUAGCAGGGAAGAAGCGAAAGUGACGGUACCUGCAGAAAAAGCGCCGGCUAACUACGUGCCAGCAGCCGCGGUAAUACGUAGGGCGCAAGCGUUAUCCGGAAUUAUUGGGCGUAAAGAGCUCGUAGGCGGUCUGUCGCGUCUGCUGUGAAAACCCGAGGCUCAACCUCGGGCCUGCAGUGGGUACGGGCAGACUAGAGUGCGGUAGGGGAGAUUGGAAUUCCUGGUGUAGCGGUGGAAUGCGCAGAUAUCAGGAGGAACACCGAUGGCGAAGGCAGAUCUCUGGGCCGUAACUGACGCUGAGGAGCGAAAGGGUGGGGAGCAAACAGGCUUAGAUACCCUGGUAGUCCACCCCGUAAACGUUGGGAACUAGUUGUGGGGUCCAUUCCACGGAUUCCGUGACGCAGCUAACGCAUUAAGUUCCCCGCCUGGGGAGUACGGCCGCAAGGCUAAAACUCAAAGGAAUUGACGGGGACCCGCACAAGCGGCGGAGCAUGCGGAUUAAUUCGAUGCAACGCGAAGAACCCUUACCAAGGCUUGACAUAUAGAGGAACGUCUGGGAAACAGUCGCCCGCAAGGUCUC
This 980-nucleotide ribosomal RNA is filed under the name Microbacterium arborescens. RNAcentral describes it as "bacterial SSU rRNA". It matches the Rfam family "Bacterial small subunit ribosomal RNA", at positions 35 to 1030 of the family's 1533-position model. The record is from RNAcentral. Lineage: Bacteria; Bacillati; Actinomycetota; Actinomycetes; Micrococcales; Microbacteriaceae.